GCAUGUGAAAGCCCCGGGCUCAACCUGGGAACUGCAUCCAAAACUGGCAAGCUAGAGUACGGUAGAGGGUGGUGGAAUUUCCUGUGUAGCGGUGAAAUGCGUAGAUAUAGGAAGGAAUACCGAUGGCGAAGGCAGCCAUCUGGCCUAAUACUGACACUGAGGUACGAAAGCAUGGGGAGCAAACAGGAUUAGAUACCCUGGUAGUCCAUGCCGUAAACGAUGUCUACUAGCCGUUGGGGCCUUUGAGGCUUUAGUGGCGCAGCUAACGCGAUAAGUAGACCGCCUGGGGAGUACGGUCGCAAGACUAAAACUCAAAUGAAUUGACGGGGGCCCGCACAAGCGGUGGAGCAUGUGGUUUAAUUCGAUGCAACGCGAAGAACCUUACCUGGUCUUGACAUAGUAAGAACUUUCCAGAGAUGGAUUGGUGCCUUCGGGAACUUACAUACAGGUGCUGCAUGGCUGUCGUCAGCUCGUGUCGUGAGAUGUUGGGUUAAGUCCCGCAACGAGCGCAACCCUUUUCCUUAUUUGCCAGCACUUCGGGUGGGAACUUUAAGGAUACUGCCAGUGACAAACUGGAGGAAGGCGGGGACGACGUCAAGUCAUCAUGGCCCUUACGACCAGGGCUACACACGUGCUACAAUGGUCGGUACAAAGGGUUGCUACCUAGCGAUAGGAUGCUAAUCUCAAAAACCCGAUCGUAGUCCGGAUUGGAGUCUGCAACUCGACUCCAUGA
This 733-nucleotide ribosomal RNA is filed under the name uncultured bacterium. RNAcentral describes it as "bacterial SSU rRNA". It matches the Rfam family "Bacterial small subunit ribosomal RNA", at positions 590 to 1323 of the family's 1533-position model. The record is from RNAcentral.